AGGAGCAUCUUUUUGUGGAGGAGGAGACGCAGGAACACUUGCAUCAGUGGAGUCUGAAGACGAUGAAUAUGUGGGGAUUUUUGUUUUGCCUUUUCCUUUUUCUGGCGCCAUAACCAACUCAGAAGCAAAUUAGGCCGCAAGGACAGUGAAAACUGGGUUCACAAAUUUAAUGAUGUGAGCAGUUAAUAUAUAUAACUAUUCGAAGCACAUCAAUAUAUUUCUAGCACAACUUAGCACAAUGUCAUAAAAAUAGAACAGACAGCUAGAGAUAUUCGGGUUUUUUAGAAUCCAUGGCAACCGAUUCAUGAUUUUGUUAUAUACCACAUUUUUACGAAAUGUUAAUGCCCAAA
RNAcentral lists this unclassified non-coding RNA (350 nucleotides) under Hevea brasiliensis (rubber tree). Lineage: Eukaryota; Viridiplantae; Streptophyta; Magnoliopsida; Malpighiales; Euphorbiaceae. The record is from RNAcentral.